This 492-nucleotide ribosomal RNA is filed under the name uncultured bacterium. RNAcentral's name for it is "partial 16S ribosomal RNA". It matches the Rfam family "Bacterial small subunit ribosomal RNA", at positions 30 to 507 of the family's 1533-position model. The record is from RNAcentral.
AUUGAACGCUGGCGGUAUGCCUAACACAUGCAAGUCGAACGGCAACGCGGUAAUGGCUGCCUCUGACUGGUGGCGAGUUGCGGACGAGUUCGGAAUACGUCCGAAUCUACUUGUUAUUGAGGCGUAACGUAUGCUAAUAUACCCUACUACCUCAGGAUGCCUGCAGGGGACAGCAAGGGAUCUUCCGGCCUGACGCGACGGUGUGAGCCGAUGUCGGAUUAGCUAGUUGGCGGGAUAAAGGCCUACCAAGGCGACGAUCCGUAGCUGGUCUGAGAGGAUGAUCAGCCACACUGGAACUGAGACACGGCCCAGACUCCUACGGGAGGCAGCAGUGGGGAAUAUUGGACAAUGGGCGCAAGCCUGAUCCAGCCAUGCCGCGUGCGGGAAGAAGGCCUUCGGGUUGUAAACUGCUUUUGUACGGAACGAAAAGCCGUCUGUUAAUACAGGGGUGUCAUGACGGUACCGUAAGAAUAAGCACCGGCUAACUACGUG